Molecule: long non-coding RNA, 1443 nt
Organism: Musca domestica (house fly)
Lineage: Eukaryota; Metazoa; Arthropoda; Insecta; Diptera; Muscidae
Exons: 2
Source: RefSeq, a predicted model, not a curated record
AAAUGAAACUGUUAUACAAAACAAUAACCUACCGGCUCAAAGACCACGGCCUCUUUGUUUUUCUCUCAUUCGUAAACUCGGCAUUUUUGUUUUCUGUUUAUUAUUUAUCGGGUAUUCAUUUCUGGCCUUCAUAUUCGUUUCUUUGGGACGUUUUUCAUUUUUGUUUUACACUCUCGCAACGAACAACCAACCAAACAAACGGCGCGCGCUUGAAGCAGAGUCGACAAUCAACUCCUGAACACCAAGAAGAGGAGGGAUAAAACAACCAAGGAAUUGGAUUGGACACAUUUGUUGGACAGGAUUAUUUAAAAAGCAGCCAACCUUGGAAUCCCUCCGCGAAUUUAAUUGAGUUUGAUAUCUGACUGGUAUUUCUGCCAAAUUGGAAUUAACAAAAAAUAAUUGAAAUGUUCAAACGAAAAAGCAGAAAACUCAGAAAGGAAAAAAAGACAGAUCCAAAAACACGCAAACGUCGUCAAACAGUCGACGUCCUUGUUUCUGAAGUUCAAAGCACUACAACAACGAAAAAAUGCACAUCCAACCAUGAAAUGGGCUUUGAAAACACAAUCCCAAUAGGAAAAAAUAUAAGCAGAUUCAAUGGUGACAUUGGGGUGCCAUGUGAAGAACAAGGAAUUUUUUUGCGAUCAGGAGUGGCAACUCCCAAGGCAAUCUUGAGCGUUGAUCUAACUGCAAACAUUUCCACUAGCAAUGAAACUGUUAUUCCAAACCAAUCGACAAAUUCUAAUUGGAAUUCUAAGCUGGAAAGGAGUUAUGAACAAUUCAAGAAAAUCAGCCAUGACUAUGAGAUUUUUAAGGCUCUGUUUGAAGAUACUAUUAUGGCUGAACAGGAAAAGAUGCUGAAAACCAUUGAAGAAGUUGACAGACUUCACAGGUACUCGAUAUCACUGGAAAUGGAGGCAGCCAAAAUAAAACGUAAACGUUGGUGUAUUCAAUGUCAAAUGGAAGCAAAAUAUCUUAGCACUAAAGGUCACUAUUUUCUGUGUUCACGGAAAUGUGAAGACCUGUAUGAAUCGUCAUUGGGAAGUUAGACUUCAUAAUAUUGUGAAAUAUUUCCCAUUUCUUUUUUUGGUUUUUGCCUUACCCAUGAAAUAAGGUUUUAUUUAACCAAAAAAUCGUUUUGUUUUUGUAAAUGUUAUUGUAAAAGAAAUUACGUUUAAUUUUUUGUCUUUAGUUUUGAAAAAGGUAUUUGAGCAGCUGCGCUGCAACCUUAUCAACAACAACAAAUUACGUUUUCAAACUAUUCUUACUUUGUAUCUUUGUAAUAUUUAAUAUUUAUUAGUUAGACAUUUUCUGAAAAAAAUUAAUUUAGCAUAAUUUAGUAUAGUUCUAAAUAUAAUUUACCGAAAAGAAUCUUUGUACUCUAAAAGAGUAAAUGUAGAAUAUAGUGUACAUACCUAUAAAAUAAACAAUGAAUUUGUAAAAGAA